This 392-nucleotide ribosomal RNA is filed under the name uncultured bacterium. Its description in RNAcentral is "partial 16S ribosomal RNA". It matches the Rfam family "Bacterial small subunit ribosomal RNA", at positions 523 to 918 of the family's 1533-position model. The record is from RNAcentral.
AUACGGAGGAUGCGAGCGUUAUCCGGAUUUAUUGGGUUUAAAGGGUGCGCAGGCGGCCAUUUAAGUCAGCGGUUAAAUCGUGGGGCUCAACCCCAUUCUGCCGUUGAUACUGGGUGGCUUGAUUGCGGUCGAGGUUGGCGGAAUUCGUUGUGUAGCGGUGCAAUGCAUAGAUAUGACGAAGAACACCGAUUGCGUAGGCAGCUGACCAGACCGCAAAUGACGCUCAUGCACGAAAGUGCGGGGAUCGAACAGGAUUAGAUACCCUGGUAGUCCGCACAGUAAACGAUGAAUACUUGUUUUCGGCGAUAUAAUGUCGGAGGCAAAGCGAAAGCGAUAAGUAUUCCACCUGGGGAGUACGCCGGCAACGGUGAAACUCAAGGGAAUUGACGGGG